GACGAACGCUGGCGGCGUGCUUAACACAUGCAAGUCGAACGGAAAGGCCCUGCUUUUGUGGGGUGCUCGAGUGGCGAACGGGGGAGUAACACGUGAGUAACCUGCUCUUGACUUUGGGAUAACUUCAGGAAGCUGGGGCUACUAUCGGAUAGCAGCCCCCGCUGCAUGGAGGGGGUUGGAUAGUCGCGGCGGGUGGGGAUGGACUCGCGGCUGAUCAGCUUGCUGGUGGGGGAGUGGCUGACCAAGGCUUUGAAGGGUAGCCGGCCUGUGAGGGUGGACGGCCACAAUGGGCCUGAGGGACGCCGCAGACUCCAACGGUAGGCAGCAGUGGGGAAUAUGGCACAAUGGGCGCAAGCCUGUGGCAGCAACGCCGCGUGCGUGAUGACGUCCUUCUGGUUGUAAACCGCUUUCGCCUGUGACGAAGCGUGAGUGACGGUAAUGGGUAAAGAAGCACCGGCUAACUACGUG
This 468-nucleotide ribosomal RNA is filed under the name uncultured bacterium. RNAcentral's name for it is "partial 16S ribosomal RNA". It matches the Rfam family "Bacterial small subunit ribosomal RNA", at positions 28 to 507 of the family's 1533-position model. The record is from RNAcentral.